AGGAAACUUGUGCUAAUACCGGAUAAGUCUUUACGGAGAAAGCUUUAUGCACCAUUGGAUGAGCCUGCACUUGAUUAGUUUGUUGGUGGGGUAAUGGCCUACCAAGACUGUGAUCAAUAGCUGAUUUGAGAGGAUGAUCAGCCACAUUGGGACUGAGACACGGCCCAAACUCCUACGGGAGGCAGCAGUGGGGAAUCUUGCACAAUGGAGGAAACUCUGAUGCAGCGAUGCCGCGUGAGUGAAGAAGGCCCUUGGGUUGUAAAGCUCUUUCGUCGGGGAAGAAAAUGACUGUACCCGAAUAAGAGGGUCCGGCUAACUUCGUGCCAGCAGCCGCGGUAAUACGAAGGGACCUAGCGUAGUUCGGAAUUACUGGGCUUAAAGAGUUCGUAGGUGGUUGAAAAAGUUGGUGGUGAAAUCCCANAGCUUAACUCUGGAACUGCCAUCAAAACUUUUCAGCUAGAGUAUGAUAGAGGAAAGCAGAAUUUCUAGUGUAGAGGUGAAAU
Molecule: ribosomal RNA, 503 nt
Filed under: uncultured bacterium
Lineage: Bacteria
Description: bacterial SSU rRNA
Rfam family: Bacterial small subunit ribosomal RNA
Source: RNAcentral